AUGGGAUGCCUUCACUUGUACAAACUACAAAGGAGCGUGGUAGAUAGCUCGUCUUGGAUUGUAUUAGUUGAACUACUCUUCGAUGUUCUGUUCACAACACAACAACACUUUGUGUCCAAACCGCCCAAAAGACGCAAAUACUUCACGGAAACAGUUAGAAAAGUAGGAGAAAGUUGGUCACCGGUAUUAAGCCACCUUUUGUCAUUUUUUCUACUCCCUCAAUCCCUUAUUUAUAUCCUCCAUUUAAUCUCCAGAGACUUCACAAAUCAAACAAACAAAUACAAAUACAACAAAACAAAACUCAAAAAGGAUUCUAAACACAUCCCAAGAAAGCAUGAAAAUGGGAAUGGGUUUAGUGGUGCUUACAGUUUUUAUGGCUGUGAUGUCUUCUACAAGAGUCCUUGCUCAGUCGACUUGCACAUCCGCUUUGAUCAGCAUGUCUCCGUGUCUCAACUACAUAACAGGAAACACAACCUCUCCGUCUCAGCAAUGCUGCAGUCAGCUGGGUAACGUUGUCAGGUCUUCUCCUGAUUGUUUGUGUCAAGUCCUCAACGGUGGUGGCUCUCAGCUCGGGAUCAACGUUAACCAAACACAGGCUCUUGCUUUGCCUAGAGCUUGUAAUGUUCAGACUCCUCCUGUCAGUCGCUGUAACAACGGUGGUGGUUCUACUGCUGACUCUCCUGCAGAUUCACCAAACUCUUCAGGACCAGGAAAUGGAUCGAAAACUGUACCAGUAGGAGAAGGAGAAGGGGAAGGACCAUCGUCAGACGGAAGCUCUAUUAAGUUCUCAUAUCCUCUUCUUGCCUUCCUUUCCGCUGCUUCCUACAUGGCAAUUUUCUUGAAAUACUGAGUUUCCCCAUCCACGGUUCUCCUGAAUCUUUUAUACUACUCAGAUUGCAUUCUUUAUUUUUCCCUACUUGUUCACAUUUCCUUGUGACUUCGUGUGAUGUAUUUAUUCUGUGCUCCGUGAGUCCCUACUCUCCGGGUGAUAUUGGAUCUCUUUACCUUUUUAUAAUAAACACUACUUUUCAGAACA
RNA transcript from Brassica napus (rape), 1036 nucleotides. It is a transcript of the gene named non-specific lipid transfer protein GPI-anchored 5-like, with no coding region annotated. The transcript has 4 exons. Lineage: Eukaryota; Viridiplantae; Streptophyta; Magnoliopsida; Brassicales; Brassicaceae. The record is from RefSeq and is a predicted model, not a curated record.